AAAGAAAAAUUGGUUUCAAUUAAAGCUCAAUUGACUAUAAUUGAUGAGUAAUAAUGGAAUGAAGGCAGUAUCCUAGGAGGGUUAGCGUUAGCGAAAUGUGAAGUGUUAGUUGGUUACCGAAAGGGAAAGGAAGGAAAUUUUGGUGUAGUAUAUAUUUGUAGUACCUUUUGGAGAAGGGUUCAACAAGAAAAAGGCAUGAAAAGGUAUGCUAUCCCGAAGUUGAAAGAGCUACCAGUAGACCAGCAAGGAGGCUACAGAGGUCAUAGUUGAAAAUAUGUCUUAAGAUCUACUGGUAGAGGUGAAAUGCCUUUCGAAUUCGACGAUAUCUGGUUGGUUCAGAAAUAAAUUAAGUUUAGGGUUGUGAGUUUUAGCAGCACUGAUUAUUCCUUGUAGAGCAGUGAAUAAUAAAAAGGACAUAAGGCAAAAAAUUUUUUUCUAAGGGUAAGGGUAGGCUUAACUGCGGUCUCCAGAAUGAACGCUAGACGCGUACUUAGGUAGGUGAAGAAAUUAGUUUUAGGUGGGUCUUAAGAUGUAUGAAUCAUAGUAACUGAACAAGAAGGUUAUUAUUAUAAUGUUGAAAUAAGUAGGUUUAAUAAUCUAUAGAUUUUUAAUAGAAUUUGAUUAUAUGGUAAUCCAGAAAAAGGAACUUGGCAAAUUUAGUCUCCCCCGACUGUUUAAUAAAAACAUAGCGUCUAGAAAGUGAAUAGAGGUGUUGCCUGCCCGGUGGGAAGAUUCUUCUUUAAACGGCGGCCUUAGCGUGAGGGUCUUAAGGUAGCAUAUAAUAUACUGAUUAAUUGUCAGGUGGAAUGAAUGGGAGCACGAGGGGAAAACUGUCUUUUUUUGGUUAAACUGAACUUACCUUGGAGGUGAAAAGGCCUUCAUAUAGUAAAUAGACGAUUAGACCCCAUGAAAUUUUAGUCUUUUAGCAGAGAACGAAGUGUUUGGAAAAUUUAAGGCUUAGGUUGGGGCAACCCGGGAAGAUAGCAAGCUUCCCGAGAUCGACAUCUAACUCUCAGGUGUAGAACCUUUACGCGGGGUUAACGGAAAAAAUUACUCUGGGGAUAACAGCUGAAUCUUCCCGGAGAGGGCUUAUUGAUGGGAAGGAUUACGACCUCGAUGUUGAAUGUGGCUAUCCUUGGGCUUGCAGGGGGUCCAAAUGGUUGGACUGUUCGUCCAUUAAAAGCUAACCUGAUUUGAGUUAAGAACGGCGCGAGCUAGUUCGGUUUCUAUCUUUUACUAAAUUAGGAUACUGUUAGUUUUUGUACGAAAGGACUAAAAAAGCCGACUUUUGUCCGGUGGAUAUGAGAGAUUAUAAUGGGAAAAGUUUUAAAAAUAAUUUUAAGG
Molecule: ribosomal RNA, 1344 nt
Filed under: Anadara pilula
Lineage: Eukaryota; Metazoa; Mollusca; Bivalvia; Arcoida; Arcidae
Description: 16S ribosomal RNA
Rfam family: Bacterial large subunit ribosomal RNA
Source: RNAcentral